This 253-nucleotide ribosomal RNA is filed under the name uncultured bacterium. Its description in RNAcentral is "partial 16S ribosomal RNA". It matches the Rfam family "Bacterial small subunit ribosomal RNA", at positions 524 to 776 of the family's 1533-position model. The record is from RNAcentral.
UACGUAGGGUGCAAGCGUUAAUCGGAAUUACUGGGCGUAAAGCGUGCGCAGGCGGUUUUGUAAGACAGAGGUGAAAUCCCCGGGCUCAGCCUGGGAAUGGCAUUUGGGACUGCAAGGCUGGAGUGUGGCAGAGGAGACUGGAAUUCCUGGUGUAGCAGUGAAAUGCGUAGAUAUCAGGAGGAAUACCGAUGGCGAAGGCAGGUCUCUGGGCUGACACUGACGCUCAUGCACGAAAGCGUGGGGAGCAAACAGG